UUGGCAACAUUCACAAUCACAAGUCAUGCCUCUACAGCAAAUGAGGAUGCAACCAGAAUACUGCAUGCAACACCCUCAGGUUGCAGCAAUUGAUGAACAACCAAGAAUUUCCCCUCUAAAUAUGGCAUUGCAAUUUGCUAAUCCUCAAGAACAGCUACACCAGCAAGUAGCAUUGAGAGGUGGAUGCAUAGGUAAUGGUAGAAAUCCAAUGUAUGGUGAGAGUGGUUUUGGAGGUGGCAAGAAUGCUGCCUCAACUUCAACUGCAAGUCCAAAUGAUGCAUGUGAGGGAAGCUUGCAAGCACCUUCUCAUGGUGGAGAUGGCCAGGGAAACAACUCAGUUCUUCUGCAUAAUCAUAAUAAUAUUACUUCAUUU
RNAcentral lists this small RNA (373 nucleotides) under Vigna angularis var. angularis. Its description in RNAcentral is "Non-protein coding transcript". Lineage: Eukaryota; Viridiplantae; Streptophyta; Magnoliopsida; Fabales; Fabaceae. The record is from RNAcentral.